RNAcentral lists this ribosomal RNA (253 nucleotides) under uncultured bacterium. Its description in RNAcentral is "partial 16S ribosomal RNA". It matches the Rfam family "Bacterial small subunit ribosomal RNA", at positions 524 to 776 of the family's 1533-position model. The record is from RNAcentral.
UACGUAGGGGGCAAGCGUUGUCCGGAUUUAUUGGGCGUAAAGAGCGUGUAGGCGGUUUGGUAGGUCCGCUGUGAAAACUCGAGGCUCAACCUCGAGACGCCGGUGGAAACCAUCAGGCUAGAGUCCGGAAGAGGAGAGUGGAAUUCCUGGUGUAGCGGUGAAAUGCGUAGAGAUCGGAAAGAACACCAACGGCGAAAGCACUCUGCUGGGCCGACACUGACACUGAGAGACGAAAGCUAGGGGAGCGAAUGGG